Molecule: ribosomal RNA, 853 nt
Filed under: Montenegrina perstriata drimica
Lineage: Eukaryota; Metazoa; Mollusca; Gastropoda; Stylommatophora; Clausiliidae
Description: partial 16S ribosomal RNA
Rfam family: Archaeal large subunit ribosomal RNA (bases 353-596)
Source: RNAcentral
AAAGUAUACAGAUCUAAGACUCCCGAUAAUAAAAGAUCUAGGAAAUAAUAUUUGGUAUUGCAUACUUGAAUAUACUGUUGCAUUAGUAUAUAAAAAUAUAUUUCUAGGGGUGAAAGACCUUCACUUUUAUAGAUAUCUGGAUAAGCAUUAAAUAAAUUUAGUUUAUUAUAUAGUUACAAUGUGAUAAGAUAGUGUAAUAAGAAUUUAUAAUAUUUAAUACUACGGCCAUUAAUUAUUACUUAGCGGCACUAUUUUAAUGGUAAUACAUCUAUAUUUCAAAAUUCUAAAUUAAUGUUUAAUUUUACUAAACUUUAUAAAAGUGGAUAAAGAAUGUAUAAAUUAGUAAAUAUAGUAAGUUUAUUGAAGGAAUUCGGCAAGCAUGCUAUACGACUGUUUAACAAAAACAUAGCCAGUAGACAUUUAAUUAUUGGUGUGACCUGCCCAGUGAUUUAUUUAACGGCCGCAGUACCCUGACUGUGCAAAGGUAGCAUAAUAAUUUGGCUUUUAAUUGAAGUCUGGCAUGAAAGGAAAAACGUAUAGCAACUGUCUUCAAACUCAAGUUUAAUUAAGUUACUCUAUAAGGUGAAAAUUCCUUAAUAAUUAAUAAUAGACGAGAAGACCCUUAGAAUUUUAAGAAAAGCCAGGAUUAAAGUGGGGUGAUUUUUGUUGGGGCAACAUUUUUUCAUAAAAUAAAAAAAACUAUUAAUAUACAACGAAUAGGUUUAAUUAAGUGUAAAUUACCUAAGGGAUAACAGCAUAAUUUUACGUAAAGAUUGUGACCUCGAUGUUGGACUAGGAACUAUUAAGGCUAAUCGUUUUAAUAAAAUAGGUUCUGUUCGAACUUUAUUUCCUA